UCAAUCCAUGUACAUAAAGUUCAAAAAUCACUAAAUAUUAUCUUUACAUUUACAUGACUUCACUUUACAUCACUUUAUGUCAUUACAAGCAUACUACAUAAUUUCCAUACACAAAAGAAUAAAAAUAAUUCCAAACUCUUCAAUAGUCUUCAUUCUUACUCCAUUCUUGACCAUGCUUGUUCAUGCUUCAUUACCAUGUACCAUGUUGCAAAGAAAACAAUAAAAACAAGUUAGAAAUUAGAUUCAUUUCUAAAAAUUCCGCACUUACAUAGCAAAAUUCAGCAUCAUGAGCAUUUACAGAAUACACAUGAAAAGACAUUUUAAAUUCAUAUCAUUCAUCUCUAAAAUUCAACACAUGCACAUACAUUAACAUCAUAUGCAAAACCAUCCAAAAACAAGUCAACUUCAAUGUUAAGAUAACAAAUAUUCAGCAUGCUAUGCAUAUACCAUAAAUACAAAUUUCACAGUAUGCAUCAUUCUCAUUCCAUUUCUAUAUAAUAAGUAAAACCCCAUAAAUCAUGUGUAUAAAAAAUACAGCAUUCAGAUAAUACAUCAUCUCAUUCAUGAAAAUCAAUCCAAAAGCAUCUAUAAAUUAUUCAUUCAUACCAUGUAAAUACCCAAGCAUGUAAAUUCAUUCAAUUUCCUUCAUAUUCACAAAAAAUUCAGCAUAUGCACAUGCAUGUAAAUUGACAUACAUCCAUGUCUUAACCAUCCUAAUUACCUUAAACUUCCACAAACUAACUUCCAACCACUUUGGGAAAUUUCCCAAAGUGCCCAAAACAGCCCCAAAUAAUUUCUAACCAAUUCUUAACCUCUAGUCACCCCUCACAUAGUUCUAUAUAAUCAUUCAUCACUCACCAAUUAAGGAGAGUUUUUUUCUUCUCCACUUUUUGAUUCUACUCAUUCUUCACUUUCUCUCAAUUUUUCACUCUCCAUUCUCCAUUCUUCAAUCUUCCCUCACUAGAGCUCAAAUCCAUGGUUGUUGAAGCUUCACAUUGAAACUUCAAUCAACUUGAGCAUAAAUCCUCACCACACUUCACCUUAUAGUUUUUCAUGAUUCAAGCACCAAAAAAAUCAACAACAACAAGAAAACAAAUGGAAGAAAAGAAAGAGGAUCAAGAAUAAAUGAAGACAAAUUGAAGAAUUACUUACCUAUUGAAUUGGCG
Molecule: long non-coding RNA, 1166 nt
Filed under: Lathyrus oleraceus (garden pea)
Lineage: Eukaryota; Viridiplantae; Streptophyta; Magnoliopsida; Fabales; Fabaceae
Description: Pisum sativum (pea) long non-coding RNA (PSAT_LNC039922)
Source: RNAcentral